RNAcentral lists this ribosomal RNA (2656 nucleotides) under bioreactor sludge metagenome. RNAcentral's name for it is "eukaryotic LSU rRNA". The stretch from base 308 to 2656 matches the Rfam family "Eukaryotic large subunit ribosomal RNA", at positions 1 to 2391 of the family's 3401-position model. The record is from RNAcentral.
AUUUUCAACGAUGGAUAUCUAGGCUCCAAUAACGAUGAAGAACGCAGCGAAGUGCGAUAAGCAAUGCGAAUUGCAGAACCGCGAGUCAUCAGAUUUUUGAACGCAAGUGGCGGCAGCCUCGGCUGUCAUGUUUGUUUCAGUGUGUCCGGUUAAUUACAUCAAAGAAUAUAAUGUGAUUGAAGAAAUUCUCUCACAAAAUAUGGAAUAAUGUCAAUGAAGACUCCAAACGAAAUAGUCACUAAAUGGUGAUAGUCGUUUGAGGAUCAGAAUUGGUGAAUCAUUAUUCAAAAACAAAUUAUCCAAUUAUGGCACCUGAAAUAAGCAAGAGUACCCGCUGAACUUAAGCAUAUCAGUAAGCGGAGGAAAAGAAAAUAACAAUGAUUACCUUAGUAGCGGCGAGUGAAUAGGUAAAAGCCCAAGAUGUUAAUCUGCUAUAAAGUAGUAGAAUUGUAAUCUAUGGAGUAGCUCGGAAGGUUGAGACUCAUCAUAAGUGCCUUGGAAAAGGACGCCAGAGAAGGUGAAAGCCCUGUCUUAGGAUGAGUCGAGGCGAUACGAGAUAUUUCUAAGAGUCGGGUAGUUUGGGAAUGCUGCCCUAAUUGGGAGGUAAACUUCUCCUAAGGCUAAAUAUUUAUUGGAGACCGAUAGCAUACAAGUACUGCGAAGGAAAGAUGAAAAGAACUUUGAAAAGAGGGUUAAAAGACUUGAAAUCGUUGAAAAGGAAGCGAUAGAAGAGAAAUGAUUCCCUGCCAAGUAGUCAAUUGAGCUAAGUUACGCGGAGGAGAAUAUCUAACAGAGUUCUUGACGUGUAAUGAAAAUCAAGGGGCAGUUGGCAGGAGAAAGGCAAGAUGAGGUGAGAUUGUAAGAAUAAGGUGAAGAGUGUAUUCUCGAACCAAAAGUUGCAAUCUUGCCUGAGGGAUCAGAUGAUGAUCUUGCCAAAAUGGCUUUUAUCGACCCGUCUUGAAACACGGACCAAGGAGUCUACCUAUUAUGCGAGUGUUAAGGUGGAGAAACCUAAACGCGUACCGAAAGGGAUGUAAGAUGUGAGGCGCAAGCUGCAACAUCAACCAAUCUUGACUCUAUGAGGAAGGACUUGAGUAAGAGCAUAAUCGGUAGGACCCGAAAGAUGGUGAACUACGGUUGAAUAGGGCGAAGCCAGGGGAAACUCUGGUGGAGGCUCGAAGCGGUACUGACGUGCAAAUCGUUCGUCAAAUUUGACUGUAGGGGCGAAAGACUAAUCGAACCAUCUAGUAGCUGGUUCCCUCUGAAAUUUCUCUCAGGAUAGCAGGAACAGAUUAUGCAGUUUUAUCAGGUAAAGCUAAUGAUUAGUGGACUCGGGGGCCCCGUGCUCUUGACCAAUUCUCAAACUUUAAAUUGGUAAGAACUUCGAGUUAUCUUAAUUGAACUCGGAGAAGGAAUGCGUUGUUCUUAGUGGGCCAUUUUUGGUAAGCAGAACUGGCGAUGAGGGAUGAACCUAACGUCGAGCUAAGGUGCCCAAAUUCACGCUCAUCAGACACCAGAAAAGGUGUUGGUUAGUAUAAACAGCCGGACUGUGGCCAUGGAAGUCGGCACCAGCUAAGGAGUGUGUAACAACUCACCAGCCGAAUUAACCAGCCCUGAAAAUUGAUGGCGCUAAGCGUGAUACCGAUACUCGACCAACAGGGCAAAUAGAAGCCUUGUUGAGUAAGAGGGCGUGAACAUUGUGUAGAAGGCUUGGACGUGAGUCUGGCUGGAACAAUGUUUAGUGCAGAUCUUGGUGGUAGUAGCAAAUAUUCAAAUGAGAACUUUGAAGACCGAAGUGGAGAAGGGUUCCAUGAGAACAGCAUUUGAUCAUGGGUUACUCGAUCCUAAGACAUAGGGAAAUUCCUUGUAAUAUAUGGGUUCUUACGAAUCCGUUGUCAAAAGGGAAUGAGGUUGAUAUUCCUCAAGCUGAAUACGGAGGUUUCGUGGCAACACAAACAAGCUUGGAGACAUCGGCGUGUGCAACUGGAAGAGUUAUCUUUUCUUCUUAACAAUCUAUCUCCCUGAAUGGAUUAUCCAAAGCUAGGGAUGUAUGGUUGGCAGAGCAGUUCACCAUCGAACUGUCAGUGAUGCUCAUGACGAUCCUUGAAAAUCCAAGUACGGUGAUCCUUUCGUAUCAGGUCGUACCCAUAACCGCAUCAGGUCUCCAAGGUUAGCAGCCUCUGGUCGAUAGAAUAACGUAGAUAAGGGAAUUCGGCAAAUUAGAUCCGUAACUUCGGGAAAAGGAUUGGCUCUGAGGAUUGGGUGUUUAGACCCCUACUUGGACAGUGGAAUUGAGCUAGGACUUGCCGCAAGGCAGGACCUAGUUUUGUGAAGCUAGAAUUGUAGGGAGUUCUUGCACAAGUAACAAUCGACUCGGAACUGAAGCGGACAAGGAGAAUCCGACUGUUUAAUAAAAACAUAGCAUUGUGAUGGCGUGAAAACGUGUUGACACAAUGUGAUUUCUGCCCAGUGCUUUGAAUGUGAAUAUGAAGUAAUUUGUAGAAGCUCAGGUAAACGGCGGGAGUAACUAUGACUCUCUUAAGGUAGCCAAAUGCCUCGUCAUCUAAUUAGUGACGCGCAUGAAUGGAUCAAUGAGAUUCUCACUGUCCCUAUCUACUAUCUAGCGAACCCACAGCCAAGGGAACGGGCUUGGAAU